CCUUGUCCCAAGUCCAUGCCCCGUGGCACACCCCAUGGAUGAGCACAAACCGCUUCUGGUUCUUAUUCUCCAUUGCCUUUCUUACUCUCAGCAUCUUGGUUCAACACUAAUAUAUAUGGUAAGUUUCCCACAGAUAAUCUUUGCAUAUUGACUGUUAGUUUUUGGUCGUUCUCUGAGUUCCAUUGACUGUUAGAUUUCUCAUUUCAAAUAUAGUAAGCAAUAAAGUCUGAACCUUUAGAAAGAUCCUUUUAGAACACACUUAAUUGUAUCAAAUCAAGAUACAUUUUUUGUUGGUUGACUUGAAGACUCCACAUGAGGUAGUUUGUUGCCAUGUUGGAUUUCGUAGUAAUUGUUUCAGUGACUGUCACAGGUGAGAAGUGGCCAUAGUAUUUAGUAUCUGCAGGAAAGUUUUUGGAAAGAGAGAUUGUAAAAUUUGUAGUUUUUGAAAGUGAAUGCUUUAUUGGAGAAGAGAUGUACAAAUUUAUAGGGAUACAAUGGAGAGUCUAGGAAUAUGUUUAUUAUAGUUCUCUUAUGAUCUCUAUUUACUAAAUCAUUCUUCUAAAAUAUUGUUUCUCAUAUGGCUUUUUGUUGUGGUGAAGUUGAAAUUCAUUACUAAUUUGCAGUAACGAUCUCAGGUUUAUUUAGGCGUAUUUAUCUGCAAUCUCCAAGAGAAGAGCACAGAGUUCUUGAGGCUUAGAGAACAUUGGCAUAUGAUCUGCAUCUUUGAUCUCCAGUACUUCCUUCACCGGGAAGUCAUUGAUCAUCCCACGCUGGUAAUCCACAGGUACCGCAACGUCCUCUCCGCAUACGAUAUAUAUACGUGUAACGGAUCCGUACCUGUCCUCACUGAAGCUUAUUGUCCCUGCCAGGUUGUUUGUCAUGAACGGGCUUACCCUCACCGACAUUUUCGCCAAUUCAAAAUCCUAAACCAACACAACAACAAUUAACAAAAGUUUAACUGAGGUUUACAAGCAAUCCCAUUUUAGUUUUUAUGAGGCUUGGAGUCUUACUUGG
Molecule: long non-coding RNA, 1014 nt
Filed under: Arabidopsis thaliana (thale cress)
Lineage: Eukaryota; Viridiplantae; Streptophyta; Magnoliopsida; Brassicales; Brassicaceae
Description: long non-coding RNA (ATHA_LNC000721)
Source: RNAcentral